Molecule: ribosomal RNA, 209 nt
Filed under: uncultured bacterium
Lineage: Bacteria
Description: partial 16S ribosomal RNA
Rfam family: Bacterial small subunit ribosomal RNA
Source: RNAcentral
UCCGUAGGCGGUGUGGCAAGUCGGUAGUGAAAUCUCUGGGCUUAACUCAGAGGCUGCUGCCGAAACUGCUGUGCUAGAGUGCGAGAGAGGCGAGUGGAAUUGCGGGUGUAGCGGUGAAAUGCGUAGAUAUCCGCAGGAACAUCCGAGGCGAAAGCGGCUCGCUGGAUCGCAACUGCGCUGAGGGACGAAAGGCUAGGGGGAAGCAAACA